RNAcentral lists this long non-coding RNA (5507 nucleotides) under Penaeus japonicus. Its description in RNAcentral is "uncharacterized LOC122250706, transcript variant X2". Lineage: Eukaryota; Metazoa; Arthropoda; Malacostraca; Decapoda; Penaeidae. The record is from RNAcentral.
UCUUGAGAGGAUUUGUUUUGGUCACAGCAGCAGCGGUCGGCUCAGCGGAGUAUUUCCUGGUAGAAAACUUUUUAAAGAGAUGUAUUUUCGUAAUGAAUAGUGAGGACAUGAUUGCAGCCUUAUAAGAUAUAGAUGAUCUGCUGUGAAAUGUUAUCAAUGAUUCUUUAAUGAACUGUUGUGACCGCAACUUAUUGUAGAUUGUGGACUUCAGAGGCAAACCACAUUGAUGAUGAUAUUAAGAAGAUGGUAGUGUGGCGCCGCAUAAAGAAUGGCAUGUCUGUGAUUUUGCUGUUAGCAUUUAUUUUCUAUAUUGGUUAUUGUACAAAAGAACUGUACACUCGCAUAUUAAACAACCGUAAAUACAAUCGCCUCAUAGAGUAUGAAAAGGAGAUUGAUGCCCUCACCAACAUGCUGGGGGAUUAUAAGAAAGACGCCAACAAAGUGCAGAGAAGCCUCCAGCUCUUACGUGAGGCUCUUGAUCAGGUGGUUGUGAACAGACGACCAAAGAGUAUUAGUGAUAGAUGAUGUCUGUUGAUGAACCCAAAAGAUGUUACCUGAAGAUCUGCUUAAUAGGGACAAUAUUUUUAGGUUUAGUAUGAGGUUCUCAUAAGCCCAAUAUAGAUGAGGGUAAAAUUCAGGAUCAGGGCAGUGGGACAUGAAUGUAAAUUCUCUCAUUCCCACUCUUUGUACUUCCUCUUCGACAAAGACCUGCAUUUUUAUUGGCUUAUUCACAAGAAUCAUCAAUUCUCUCAACAGCAUGGCUAUAUGAAUGAGGUUUACAGACCAUAAUGCUACUAUAAUGCUGUUAUAUAGCAAGACUUGUUUUUCCUGUACAUUAGUGCUAUUCUUUCUAUCCUCUGGAUAUUUUUUUUUUUAAUCUUGUCACCCUAAAGUGAUUAUUCUUAUAUCUCAAAACCUUUGCAAAUGGUGAAAUACAAAUUUAUGGACACAAUGAGGUGUUGAUAGGGAAACUCAUAAAGAACCUCUUGUUUUUUUUCUCUUAUGAAUGUUACCAAUGUGUAUUAAAAUUAAAUCAGUGCACAAAGUUAGAAACAAAGGUAAAUCAACUGUCAGGAGUAGAAUUAGAAAGAAAAUAUUGAUAUUUGCAAUCUUCCUAAAUUUGUUAAUGAUUUUUAGGUAAUUGAAUGUUUUCCUAGUACUUUUCCAUAAUAAUGUUUAUGGUUAGAGAUUUCUGUGAUAGGAACUUGUGUAGAUGACACAUUUCAUAAUAUGUCACUGUUCCCAUAGGUAUGUAAAUGUAUGGGAGGCUUUAUAUAUAACUAACAUACACAUUUGUAGAUUCCUUAUAGAAUUAAGUUAUGCCUGAUUACUAAUACUGUGUUAUAUAGUGAUUAGAUAGUGUGUGUUUUUCAUUAAAAAUCUUUUACUAAAUUUUGAAGGAACUCAAUUCUCAUUAUUAUUAUUUUUUUUCUUCUUCCGUUUUUUUACCUUUUUUUCUUUCUUUCUUUAUCAUUAUGAAGUACAUCUGACCUGUACUAGACCAGAUUUUAUUUUCUUCUUUUUUCUUUGUUUUUACCUUUUUUUUUUUUCUUUCUUUCUUUAUCAUUAUGAAGUACAUCUGACCUGUACUUGACCAGAUUUUUUUCAGGGCUUAAUAGAUUAUGGUAAUGGUGGCGUAAACAUCAUCCUAUUAUAUGAUUAAGGUAUUAUAUUUAUUAUCAGUUUCCUUCAUUUUAGAUAUUGUGAUUUCAGUAAAUAUUUGGCUUGGUUGACAAUGAGUAUUGAAUUCAGUUUAUGUUGCAUACAAGGUGAAUUUUAUUUGAGAUAUUUACAUAUGCCAAAUUCAUCAUAAAAUCUGAAGUCACUUGCUAUCCAAUGCCUGGAAUUGUUUUCCUGUUUCUGAUCAUCCGUCAGAAUAUGACAAAUGUCUUUAUAAAGUUCCUAGUUCUUCCCUGUUUUUGUUACAGUUUUGCAUAUUAGAAUUUAUAGGGAAUAUCAAAACUUUAUUCAUAAUAUUCUAUCCACCUAUCAUUAAUUACGUUUGAUUAAAUGCACCUUAAAUUGUGUCAUAUGAGAAUAUCCCUUGAUGAAAUAGAGGAAGUUCAUAUACUUCUGCAUCUUGCAUACAUAAAGUAUGGUACUUAAGAUUAAUUAAACUAUUUUUCUUGAUCAGAGUACUUCACAAUUAGAUUUAAAAAAUAUUGCUUCUUAGGUUAAUCAAGAAAAAAGUAAAAUGUUUGUUUCCAGAGAAACCAGGAUUUAUUCCUCUUGCCUGCUCUUUUGUUCUCAUGGAUUCAGUCUUCUUUAAUUAUUGUUAUUUCAUAUUGAUAUAUUCAUGUUUUUCUUUUUCCUGGAAAAAGAGGCAUUUCUCAGAAGAAGCAACUAUUAUGGUAACUGCUUGUUUUCAUGAAUUGACAGAUUGCAGCUAUUCAUAGAUUUUACAUUUUAAGGUUUUGUCUUUGAGUAACUUUUCUUUGAUCUAAAAAAAAAAAAAAAAUGUUGAAAUUUGAAAAUUUAAACUAGGUAUUUUGGUUAAUGAUGAUUUAUCUUACACUAUUUAUGGUAAUAUUUGACUUAUAAUUCCAAUAUGCACUGUACGUAUGAGGUGUGUAUAGGGUGCCAGAAUGAAGCUAACUUGCUUUAAUGUUGAACUUUCACACUUGGAAAUAUCAUAUGAGGAAGCAAUUUCCACAUCCCAGAUUUUAAUUACCGUGUACAGACAGAUUCAUGAUAAGAAAACUAGAUCUUAUAGAGUUAGAAAUCAGUGUUCAGAAUAGAGCAUGAUUUGAGUGAUUAUACUGGUGUGAGAUGUAAAGCACUGAUAUUCCUUAGUUGAGCUUUUUUUUUAUAUAUUUAUAUUUUCUUUAAGGUAAUGACAGGUGGUUUGCUCAUGAAAACUAAUUUGCAUUUUGUUGAAAUAUGCACUUGUAUUUGUACUUAUGUGUUGUUGUUGUUCUUCUUCCCUUUGUGUCUUCCAUACGUUUCUUAUCCUUUAUGAAAUCAGUCGGAUUAUCAUAUUUUCAAGGAUACAGUAAUUUAAAUUCAGUAUUUCAUGCUCUUUGAAAUUGCUUGAUCUGUUCUACUUUCUUGAAUACAAUGUGAUUCUUUGACUCAGUACUCAGUAGUACUUACAGUGUAUAUAUAUGUAUAUAUAUAUGCAGCCUUCUUGUCCUCUGAUGAUUUCAGUUGUUAGUGUGGCAGAAAACCUUAUAAAAUCCAUCAGUCUGGCAUAUUGCAGUGUGUGCAGAAUAAGAAGAAAAUGUGUAUGUACAGCGAAUGAAGUGCCUUCUAUACUGUCUUCACCCUAGAACUCUCACAGAUGCUCUCGCUCACUCUCCCUCUCAUUCACUCAUUCACUCACUCACACUCAUGCACUCACACUCAUGCACUCAUUCACUCACACUCAUACUCUUGUACUCAUACUCUUGUACUCAUUCACUCACACUCAUGCACUCACUUACUCACACUUAUGCACUCACUCACUCACUCACUCACUCAUAAUCUUACUCUCUCAUAUUCACUAACUCUUUCAUAUCCACUCACUUUCACACUCACUCUCUCAUACACACACCCUCUCUCUUUCUCUCUUUCUUUCUCUCUCUCUCUCUUUCCUUCUUUCUUUAUUUCUUUCUUUCUCACAUUAUUACACUUACACCUACACUCGCUCUCACAUUCACACUCACACUCACAAUCACUCACACAUGCACAAAUAUGCAUAUAUAAUCAAAAGUGUUCAGUUUUCUUAUUAAAUGUUGUAAAUGGUUAAUACUUUAGAAAUAUGUCUUCUGUGUGUGUUUAUGAGUCUCUAGUUCUGUAAUUGUGCACAUAUACUUUUUUUUUUGCUUGUUACAUUUUCUUUUCUUUUAGAUAACAAACAUCUAAAUGCUGUAGAUAAUUAGUGGAAAGAAUAAUACAAUAGACAGUAAAUAUAUGACAAUAUAAAUGUUUAGGCAAUAGUCAUCUGUUCCAUGUUCCAAUAGUGCCAAUGGAAUUUAAAAUAUUUAUACAAUAGAUUUGGUAUAUUUGAGUACUGCAUGCUUUAUAUUCAUACAGAAUACGUACCGAGUGAUGCGAUUUGAUAUGCGGAGAAAUAUUUUUAUAUACUGGAACAUUACAAAAAAAAUAAUGAUACAACAGAGGAGCAGUGGCAUCCUUAUCUUCACAUGCGGAAAUUAACAUGAAAGACAUUGAUGAAUCUCACUGGCACUUCCUUAUUUUUCUUAUGGUGUAGUUUCUUCAUUUAACUCAAGUUGUAAAUGGUGUGAGGAUAAAUGUAUGCUGAAAAAUGUUGCAUAGUGUACUUGCUGCCUGGUUGAAAUAAUGAGAAUUUGUCAACCUAUUUGUUUUUUUGUUUGCAUAAUCAAAAGUACUGAAAUAGGGAUAUUGAAAGUAAAUAGGAUGACACAUAUAAUGAGGAUUACAUUUUAUCUUGGUAUUCAUUACUUACAUAUUGAAUCAGAAUAGUUAGGCUAUCCUCAUCAGAGUCACAUUGCAUGUUGCUAUAGAAUGAUUGAUUAAUUAGAGUAAAAUGGUGUGGAAGUACACUGAAGAAUAUAUUGAUAAACCAACCUGCCAGCACAAAUGUUAACGUCAUUCUACAACAAAAAAUGAAGUAAUUUUUCUGGAGACGUGUUUAUUGUAUGCAAUGCAGUUUGUUAACGUGCCAACCCAGUUUGUCCCCAUCAUAAGAUGUCAAAGGGACGAGAACUGAAGUGUUAUUUUACGUGAAUGACGUUGUUAAGGGAUCAUUGAAUUUGUUCCAAUCCAAGGGAACCAAGGUUACAUGUCUUCUUCAGUAAGAUACUCUUUCUCUGAUUCCAUCCACUUAUAGUUUGUAGUUUGCUAUAGUGGUAUUUUAUGAAAAUGUCUGCAAGAUGUGGACUCUUUCCUACUUAGUGUAUAGAAAUGCUUUUCUCUACAAAAUGUAGAUUUUAGGAAAUAAAAUUCUAUUUGCAUUUUUAAACAUGUAUGUAUUGUUUAAAUUAGUUGUUACAUUGUUAAUGAAAUAUUGUACAAGUAUAACAGUGAGGAAAAGAUAAUAAAGGUUACAACUACCUUCACUAUGGUAAUGUUGUUAUCAUAGAAGCAACAAGAAAUAAAAGAUUUUUUUUUAUUAACUUUGCAUGAUAUGUAAGUGCUCCAUCUCAAAAUAAACAUAUAAGAAAAUAUAUAAACAUUCAUAAACUUAUGGCAUUUUGAGCUCCUGUUACUUUAAUGGUGUUAAAAUUCUGAGUUAAAGAAAAGGUAAUAGACUACUACAUCCUUAUCUAUUAACCUAAGCUGCACCACAUUAAUCAAUGUUUAGCAGUAUGUCAGUCUUGUUUUGGGGGGAAAAAUAAAAGGGUAACUACUCACACUCUUCAAUGAAUUCAUUCAGAAUAUCCUUGUCCAUAUUACUAAUUUCUUGUUGCUAAGAUAAUGAUACAAUAUAACUUAUGAGUGACAUAAAUUGUAGCUUCCUAAAUAGGCUUAUUGUUAAACAAAAUACCUGGGUUGUUUUUAUGUUUAUAGAUAGGGACAGAUUUCAAUAAAUAUCUUAAACAUGA